This 305-nucleotide ribosomal RNA is filed under the name uncultured bacterium. Its description in RNAcentral is "bacterial SSU rRNA". It matches the Rfam family "Bacterial small subunit ribosomal RNA", at positions 334 to 636 of the family's 1533-position model. The record is from RNAcentral.
UGUUCCUACGGGGGGCAGCAGUGAGGAAUAUUGGUCAAUGGGCGGAAGCCUGAACCAGCCAAGUCGCGUGAGGGAUUAAGGCCCUAUGGGUCGUAAACCUCUUUUGUCGGGGAGCAAAGAGACCACGUGUGGUCAAAAGCGAGAGUACCCGAAGAAAAAGCAUCGGCUAACUCCGUGCCAGCAGCCGCGGUAAUACGGAGGAUGCGAGCGUUAUCCGGAUUUAUUGGGUUUAAAGGGUGCGUAGGCGGGACGGUAAGUCAGCGGUAAAAAUGCGGAGCUCAACUCCGUCGAGCCGUUGAAACUGU